Raphanus sativus (radish) is the source of this 283-nucleotide long non-coding RNA. RefSeq lists it as uncharacterized. The record is from RefSeq and is a predicted model, not a curated record. Lineage: Eukaryota; Viridiplantae; Streptophyta; Magnoliopsida; Brassicales; Brassicaceae. The transcript is spliced from 4 exons.
AUGCCUUAUCUUGAGCUAAACCUCUGGGAUUUUAACACAAAACAAGAUGAAUAUUUUCUUGGCUUGACUUUGGCUGUAAAACCAAGCGCUCCUAAACUAGAAAUGGUCUGCAAUGCAUCUCAGGAUAUGAGUGAGAACUUUCUCUUUUGCCCUAUGGUUAACAAUGAUCGUGAACCAUCAGUUUUCUGGUCUCUGCUCUCUCCUGAUGAAAGCCGCGACCACGCACCUGUUGAAUCAUGUCCUCUAUCUCUGUCCUUCAGGUGAGAAUAUGAAUCCAUGUUUU